RNAcentral lists this ribosomal RNA (225 nucleotides) under uncultured bacterium. Its description in RNAcentral is "partial 16S ribosomal RNA". It matches the Rfam family "Bacterial small subunit ribosomal RNA", at positions 15 to 230 of the family's 1533-position model. The record is from RNAcentral.
GAUCCUGCUCAGGAUGAACGCUAGCUACAGGCUUAACACAUGCAAGUCGAGGGGCAGCAUGGUCUUAGCUUGCUAGGGCUGAUGGCGACCGGCGCACGGGUGAGUAACACGUAUCCAACCUGCCGUCUACUCUUGGCCAGCCUUCUGAAAGGAAGAUUAAUCCAGGAUGGGAUCAUGAGUUCACAUGUCCGCAUGAUUAAAGGUAUUUUCCGGUAGACGAUGGGG